AAGUAUAAAGGGGUCCAGCCUGCCCAGUGACCACAAGUUUAACGGCCGCGGUAUUCUGACCGUGCAAAGGUAGCGCAAUCACUUGUCUUUUAAAUAGAGACCUGUAUGAAUGGCCAAACGAGGGCUUAACUGUCUCCCUUUUCCAGUCAGUGAAAUUGAUUUACCCGUGCAGAAGCGGGUAUAAUAAUACAAGACGAGAAGACCCUUUGGAGCUUAAGGUAUAAAACUCAACCACGUAAAGCAACUAAAUAAAAAGCAAAAACUUCGUGAAAAAUGAAAUUUUACCUUCGGUUGGGGCGACCAUGGAGUAAAAAAAAACCUCCAGGUGGACCGGGACAAACCCCUAAAACCAAGAGAGACAUCUCAAAGCCACAGAAUAUCUGACCAAACAUGAUCCGGUAAUUAAUAAACCGAUCAACGAACCAAGUUACCCUAGGGAUAACAGCGCAAUCCUCUCCCAGAGCCCAUAUCGACGAGGGGGUUUACGACCUCGAUGUUGGAUCAGGACAUCCUAAUGGUGCAGCCGCUGUUAAGGGUUCGUUUGUUCAACGAUUAAAGUCCUACGUGAUCUGAUUUCCAGACCGGA
This 586-nucleotide ribosomal RNA is filed under the name Balantiocheilos melanopterus (tricolor sharkminnow). RNAcentral's name for it is "partial large subunit ribosomal RNA". It matches the Rfam family "Bacterial large subunit ribosomal RNA", at positions 1841 to 2620 of the family's 2925-position model. Lineage: Eukaryota; Metazoa; Chordata; Actinopteri; Cypriniformes; Cyprinidae. The record is from RNAcentral.